GACACUCUGGAGAAUCCCGGCUUGCCGGGUGCCGAAGGGGCAAGGCCGUUCCCGGCCAAUCUCUCAGGCAAAAGGACAGAGG
Molecule: non-coding RNA, 82 nt
Filed under: bovine gut metagenome
Description: Glycine riboswitch
Rfam family: Glycine riboswitch aptamer
About the family: This family represents the bacterial glycine riboswitch.
Source: RNAcentral